Molecule: transfer RNA, 72 nt
Filed under: Ornithorhynchus anatinus (platypus)
Lineage: Eukaryota; Metazoa; Chordata; Mammalia; Monotremata; Ornithorhynchidae
Rfam family: tRNA
About the family: Transfer RNA (tRNA) molecules are approximately 80 nucleotides in length. Their secondary structure includes four short double-helical elements and three loops (D, anti-codon, and T loops). Further hydrogen bonds mediate the characteristic L-shaped molecular structure. tRNAs have two regions of fundamental functional importance: the anti-codon, which is responsible for specific mRNA codon recognition, and the 3' end, to which the tRNAs corresponding amino acid is attached (by aminoacyl-tRNA synthetases). tRNAs cope with the degeneracy of the genetic code in two manners: having more than one tRNA (with a specific anti-codon) for a particular amino acid; and 'wobble' base-pairing, i.e. permitting non-standard base-pairing at the 3rd anti-codon position.
Source: Rfam by way of RNAcentral
GGCAGUGUGGCCUAGUGGAAAUAGCAUGGGGCUGGGAACCAGAGGACCUGGGUUCUAAUCCCUGCUCUGCCA